UACAUCCGAGAGUAAUAGUACAGGUCACGAGAAUGUCCGGCCCACAGAUCAUAGUAUUCUGACAAAUUUGGCCCCUGGAAAAAUAUAGUUGAAUAGCCCUGCCAUAGGGCAUAAACAGCAAAACAUUGGAGAUC
Molecule: long non-coding RNA, 134 nt
Organism: Thalassophryne amazonica
Lineage: Eukaryota; Metazoa; Chordata; Actinopteri; Batrachoidiformes; Batrachoididae
Exons: 3
Source: RefSeq, a predicted model, not a curated record